RNAcentral lists this ribosomal RNA (253 nucleotides) under uncultured bacterium. RNAcentral describes it as "partial 16S ribosomal RNA". It matches the Rfam family "Bacterial small subunit ribosomal RNA", at positions 524 to 776 of the family's 1533-position model. The record is from RNAcentral.
UACGUAGGGUGCAGGCGUUAAUCGGAAUUACUGGGCGUAAAGCGUGCGCAGGCGGUUUGCUAAGACAGGUGUGAAAUCCCCGGGCUUAACCUGGGAACUGCGCUUGUUACUGGCAAGCUGGAGUGUGGCAGAGGGGGGUGGAAUUCCACGUGUAGCAGUGAAAUGCGUAGAGAUGUGGAGGAACACCGGUGGCGAAGGCAGCCCCCUGGGCUAACACUGACGCUCAUGCCCGAAAGCGUGGGGAGCAAACAGG